Choloepus didactylus (southern two-toed sloth) is the source of this 2881-nucleotide RNA transcript. It is a transcript of the gene named protein arginine methyltransferase 6, with no coding region annotated. The record is from RefSeq and is a predicted model, not a curated record. The transcript is spliced from 2 exons. Lineage: Eukaryota; Metazoa; Chordata; Mammalia; Pilosa; Megalonychidae.
GGGAACCGGCCAAGAUGUCGCUGCCCAAAAAAAGAAAACUUGAGUCGGGGGACAGCGGCGAAGGAGGAGAGGGAACUGAAGAGGAAGAUGGCGGAGAGGGGGAGGCGGUCCCGCCGCGACCCCGCAGGACUAAGAGGGAACGGGAUCAGCUGUACUACGAGUGCUACUCGGAUGUAUCAGUUCACGAGGAAAUGAUCGCCGACCGCGUCCGCACCAAUGCCUACCGCCUGGGCAUCCUGCGGAACUGGGCAGCGCUGCGAGGCAAGACGGUGCUGGACGUUGGCGCGGGCACAGGCAUUCUGAGCAUCUUCUGUGCCCAGGCCGGGGCCCGCCGGGUGUACGCAGUGGAGGCCAGCGCCAUCUGGCAACAGGCCCGGGAGGUGGUGCGGCUCAACGGGCUGGAGGACCGGGUGCACGUUCUGCCCGGGCCGGUGGAGACGGUGGAGUUGCCUGAGCAGGUGGAUGCCAUCGUGAGCGAGUGGAUGGGCUACGGACUCCUGCAUGAGUCCAUGCUGAGCUCCGUGCUCCAUGCGCGGACCAAGUGGCUGAAGGAGGGCGGCCUAGUCCUGCCAGCUUCCGCCGAGCUCUUCGUGGCUCCCAUCAGCGACCAGAUGUUGGAGUGGCGCCUGGGCUUUUGGAGCCAGGUGAAGCAGCACUACGGUGUGGACAUGAGCUGCCUGGAGAGCUUCGCCACGCGCUGUCUCAUGGGCCACUCGGAGAUCGUGGUGCAGGGCCUUUCCGGUGAGGAUGUACUGGCCCGGCCGCACAGUUUUGCUCAGCUGGAGCUGGCUCGCGCCGGCCUAGAGCAAGAGCUGGAGGCCGGAGUAGGCGGGCGCUUCCGCUGCAGCUGUUACGGCUCUGCGCCGAUGCACGGCUUUGCCAUCUGGUUCCAAGUGACCUUCCCCGGAGGGGACUCGGAGAAGCCCCUGGUGCUGUCCACCUCGCCUUUUCACCCAGCUACGCACUGGAAGCAGGCGCUCCUCUACCUAAACGAGCCGGUGCAAGUGGAGCAAGACACGGACAUUUCCGGAGAGAUCACGCUGCUGCCCGACCGGGACAAUCCCCGCCACCUGCGUGUGCUGCUGCGCUACAAAGUGGGAGACCAGGAGGAGAAGACCAAAGACUUUGCCAUGGAGGACUAAGGCUGCCGUUUUUCCCUGCUGCCUCCCAUGGCCGCUUGGCCUGUGUAGGAGAGGCGUAGGGAAGUCCGAGAAGAAAGAGAGCUCCCACGUGCAAAUAUGAUCUGACAGUAUCAGCAUGGCUGUAUAUGAAGAGUACUGUAUGACACAGGAUGCCAGAUGAUCUAAAGGAAGCCCAAGACCUUUGGAGUGAGGUCACUCCUAGUAGAAUGAGCACCAUCUAGGCACCUUCUGAUCUGCUUCAGUGGACUUAUACAGAUCAUGUGGAGCCAGAGCUUUCCAUGGGAGGAAAACAAGAAGUUCUACAUACUUCCUUUUAACAGCUUCCAUUUAUUUAGCACUGUGAAAUUUUCCAAAUAUUUUAAUUAAUUCAUUGGACCAAUGGACAUUUUAUUGAGUAUACACAUUAUAACAGUCACUGUGAUAAGCAAUUAGGAUACAAACCAGUAGAACACAGUUGCUGCCUUCAAAUAGAUAUAUUCAUAAGAUAAAGCAGUAAGAAAAACAGCUAAACAAUAAUGGGCUAAAGACUGGGAGGUCUGGUUGGUAGGAAGGGCAAGUAAUUAUGUUCACUUUAUGUAAUUGGAAAAAGUUACACAGAUGUUGAGGGAUUUGCCUAAAAUGACAUAGCUAAUUCCUAACUGUUAUAUAUUAAACACAAAUCUUUCAAUUCCAAGCCCCAAACAAAAUAACAUUUUUUUUUUCAUUUUAUUAGCCUGUAUGCUUUAAUAUGAAAACAAAAAAGCAAAUGUCUCCAGAAUGGGUCCAACAGUUUCUAUAGUUUGAUGAAUGAAGGAAAGAGGGAAAAGUCCUUAGCCUAAGGCACUCUCACCUUCAGUAUGUAGGAUCUUAAGACUGACAAAUACUAAGCACUCAUUGACUCACUACCUACUAUACAUAUUUCCAUAUCAGGCCGAGCUCAUCAAAUGUGGCAGUCUUUCUGAGGCCUUCGAGAAUCUUGGACUCCUCAGCAUGGUAAUAGCAAAGGUAGAUGAAUUCUUCCAUUCUGUCUAUAGGUUCUGGGGGCUAGGGGGCAGACAGGCAUUCAAUAAGGCUAAAAGGGACACUGAAAAAGGGCAGAAGGAGUUCAAAAGGUGAAUGUGAAAGGCUCCUUAAGUAAAACAUUUUCCUUCAGGCUUCGUAGUACCCAAUGCUGAGAAGAGAUGAAUCUUUAGGAAGCAUGUGUAGUCACUGAGUAACCCUCCUCCCAGAUGUGGAGUUUCUAUUCAUUCAUUUAAUGAGUUAAUAAGCACCAACAUAUAACAAUUACAUUCUAUGAUAAAUAAGCAAUUUCUACCCUCAAAGAACUAAAAUGUAGGAAGAAAAAAAUUACCUACAUCAAUAAUUUGCAUACAUUCCUCAGCCUGAUUAGACUUCAUUCCAGCUAAAUCUUACCUUGUUGAAGCAGGAUUGAGUGUCCUCAUAAAUUCUAUCCUUAAAACUCCUCUCAAAUGCAAAAAUAUUUAUCAUUAUAUAAUUAGGAGAUACUCAAAGAAAAAUUCUUCUCUCCUAUUAGUCCCAAAAAUAAAUGUAUGUCUUCUAAAUAACUGAUUUGUUUCAGUUAACAUAGUAUAUUGAGUAGAUGACUCCACAGUGGCUACUAGAAAGCUGAGCCAAAUGUGUGCCUCAUUUGUGCUCUUUUUUUAUGUCCAUACUCCAAAGUUUUCUUUUUUUUUUAAAUUUUUAAAUUUUUAUUGAAAUUGUUCACAUACCGUACAAUUAUCCAGAGAUUCAAAGUGUAC